This 524-nucleotide long non-coding RNA is filed under the name Mytilus galloprovincialis (Mediterranean mussel). The record is from RNAcentral. Lineage: Eukaryota; Metazoa; Mollusca; Bivalvia; Mytilida; Mytilidae.
UUUGAACCAAGAUUCUAUUGUUUUGCUGUCUCACGAAUUUAUACCAGCACUUCUAUCAUGCUUUGAAUCUAUCUCUGUUAACAAACAAUAGGAUAAAAGAAAUAUUUUAUUACUACUAAGCAUGUGUAAUCUCACAACAUAUAUACAUAUUUACAUAACAAAUUACAACUUGGAAAAACUGGGGACUAACAGAUUAAAAUUGAGUUAUCCCCCUUUUCAUAUAGAUAUAAAAUUUAAAACUUGGGGAUGAGAUACAAAGGCUAAUGUGAAGAAAUUGUAUCGAAUUGGCCAAAUACAGGUGUGAAGCAGCUGUAGCCCCCAAGUGAAAUGGGGAACCUUUGUUGCCAGUACAAUUUAACCUAACUUCUGUCUGUCUCUGCUAAUUGUUUUUGAACAUUCUUAAGAACAUUAGGAGAAGUAUGAAUAUAUCUUGUGUAACAAUUAGAUGACCAUCUACCAAGUGUUUGAAUUAAAUGAUCUUCAAGACGGUAUUCUUUAGCAGAUGUAGCUGCAUCAACUCUAAA